Dasypus novemcinctus (nine-banded armadillo) is the source of this 1904-nucleotide long non-coding RNA. The record is from Ensembl. NCBI's taxonomy places the organism in Eukaryota, Metazoa, Chordata, Mammalia, Cingulata, Dasypodidae.
AUGCAGGGAGUGCUCCGUAAAUGCAGCAGCUGCCACAGUUCCUGUCUCCUGCGUCUCCUUACCCCCAGGCCUGAGAUCUGUCCCCACCGCAGGGCCUCUGUCCUACAUCCUUGUUCCUCAGCCUGCAGGCAGUGCCUCCCUCUUCUGACCUGGAGGAAAAGAGCGAGCCUGGGUUAUCCUGGAGCCUGGAGGACUGAGUCAAAUAAACUGAUUAAGAAGGCCCUGGAAUCCUGCAGCAGCCACUCGCGCCCGCCGAGGAGAGCUCCCCAACGCCACUGGCCCCGGUCAGCUCCAGGCUUCUCUCUGACGACAUUGUUCCCAGUGCCAGAGAAGGAGGAGGAGGAUGUGGGCACCCUGCUCGACUUCUAGGAACGCAGGUAGCCGGGACAGGGCAUGGUGGUAUCUGGGAGGUAAGCAGACCUGGGGGUGCUGCAGCUCAUCCUUUGCCUAACUCUAGGAGACCGCCCUCUGCGGCCUGCCUCGACCUGUGUUCAAGAGGAACCACGGGGGAAUCGGACUUGGCCCAGUGGUUAGGGCGUCCAUCUACCACAUGGGAGGUCCGCAGUUCAAACCCCAGGCCUCCUUGACCCGUGUGCAGCUGGCCCAUGCGCAGUGCUGAUGCACGCAAGGAGUCCCCGCGUAGGGGAGCCUCAGGCGCAAGGAGUGCGCCCCAAAAGGAGAGCCGCCCACACUUCCCGUGCUGCUGACGACAACAGAAGCGGACAAAGAAACAAGACGCAGCAGAUAGACACAGAGAACAGACAACCGGGGGAGGGAGGGGGAAUUAAAUAAAUAAAUAAAUCUUUAAAAAAAAAAAAGAGGAACCAUGAUGGCUAACGUUUUCUGAGUACUUACCAUGUGCCUGGCAUUGUUCUGUGCACUUAACGGGUCUUAAUUCAUUUAAUUCAUAGUUAAACCUUUCAAACACCUUGGGUAAGGCUUACCACCCCCACUUGAUAGACAAGUAAGACUGACUCAAAGUUCCAACAUUAAGUAACUGGGAGAGCUGGUCUAAAACUAGGUGUGACUGCAAUCCUGGCUUCACUUUGCUAUCCCCAAGGUAGCUCCUCUAAGAAGUAUACAUUAAUAUGGUGAUACAUGGGAAAUUACAACUAACGUAACUUAUGGUUGCUAGUUAACAGUAAUAUUGUAAUAUUUUUGCAGUAAUGGCAAAGAAGGUAUUAUGUUAAUUCUAAGAGACAACAAUAGGGAUAUACGGGGGCGGGAUUUUUCCUUUUGGAGUAAUGAAAAUGUUUUAAAAUUGACUUAGGUGAUGACAGCACAACUCUGUGAUGAACAUGAGAGUUACUGAGUGUACACACUGAAAGGAUUGUACAAACUAUGGGGCUGUAUAACACAGGAAAUCCAGUGGGGGAAGAUGGACUGUGGUUAACAGAACAGAGACGAGAAUGUUCUCUCAUGAACUAUUAAUAUAACAAAUGCACAGUUCUAAUACAGGGUGUUAAUAAUUGACUUGGGGGGGGGAAAUGUACCAAAUGUUAAGAUAUGGGCUACAGUUAGUAAUAAUAUUUUGAUGAUGUUCUGUCAUAGUUUGUAAUAAAUGUUUCACAACAAUGCAAGGUGUUGGUGAUGGGGUGAUGUAUGGGAGGCCUGUAUGAUGAUCAUGCUUGUUUUGUAAAUCCACAACUUUUACUAUAUAUUUACUGUUUAUGUAUGGUCUUGUUUGAAUGAUCUAUUUUAAUAAAAUUUUAUUUUAAAAGGUAUACAGUAGACAAUAAAUGCUUGAUGAAGAUGUUUGAUUACUGCCAUGUAAUGGAAAGUUCCCUUUCCUAGUCCAUUCCUACUCCAUUUCUCUGAAUGUCCUUAAGAGAGUCUUUUUUCUUCUUUAGCCUCAGUUUCCCCUGAAAGACAAAUGAUAAAUGAUGGCCUGUAGAGUUAGAUAC